GAUGAACGCUGGCGGCGUGCCUAAUACAUGCAAGUCGAGCGAACAGACGAGGAGCUUGCUCCUUCGACGUUAGCGGCGGACGGGUGAGUAACACGUAGGUAACCUACCUAUAAGACUGGGAUAACUUCGGGAAACCGGAGCUAAUACCGGAUAAUAUUUCGAACCGCAUGGUUCGAUAGUGAAAGAUGGCUUUGCUAUCACUUAUAGAUGGACCUGCGCCGUAUUAGCUAGUUGGUAAGGUAACGGCUUACCAGGGCAACGAUACGUAGCCGACCUGAGAGGGUGAUCGGCCACACUGGAACUGAGACACGGUCCAGACUCCUACGGGAGGCAGCAGUAGGGAAUCUUCCGCAAUGGGCGAAAGCCUGACGGAGCAACGCCGCGUGAGUGAUGAAGGUCUUCGGAUCGUAAAACUCUGUUAUUAGGGAAGAACAAACGUGUAAGUAACUGUGCACGUCUUGACGGUACCUAAUCAGAAAGCCACGGCUAACUACGUG
Molecule: ribosomal RNA, 497 nt
Filed under: uncultured bacterium
Lineage: Bacteria
Description: partial 16S ribosomal RNA
Rfam family: Bacterial small subunit ribosomal RNA
Source: RNAcentral